Ornithorhynchus anatinus (platypus) is the source of this 137-nucleotide non-coding RNA. NCBI's taxonomy places the organism in Eukaryota, Metazoa, Chordata, Mammalia, Monotremata, Ornithorhynchidae. The record is from Rfam.
UCCCUCUCAGGGUCACACCUGGAGAGUUUCCAGUCUCUACCAGUCUUGACUACGGGAGGGAGAAUCAAGCAGAGGCCCGUCCAUUCCAUUCCUAGCUUGGCCAGUGGCUAGCGAGUGGAAGGCCAUCUGCUACAAGU